This 468-nucleotide ribosomal RNA is filed under the name uncultured bacterium. RNAcentral's name for it is "partial 16S ribosomal RNA". It matches the Rfam family "Bacterial small subunit ribosomal RNA", at positions 28 to 507 of the family's 1533-position model. The record is from RNAcentral.
GACGAACGCUGGCGGCGUGCUUAACACAUGCAAGUCGAACGGAAAGGCCCUGCUUUUGUGGGGUUCUCGAGUGGCGAACGGGUGAGUAACACGUGAGUAACCUGCCCUUGACUUUGGGAUAACUUCAGGAAACUGGGGCUACUACCGUAUAGGAGCUCCUGCUGCAUGGUGGGGGUUGGAACGUUUCGGCGGUUGGGGAUGGACUCGCGGCUUAUCAGCUUGUUGGUGGGGUAGUGGCUUACCAAGGCUUUGACGGGUAGCCGGCCUGAGAGGGUGACCGGCCACAUUGGGACUGAGAUACGGCGCAGACUCCUACGGGAGGCAGCAGUGGGGAAUAUUGCACAAUGGGCGGAAGCCUGAUGCAGAAACGCCGCGUGCGGGAUGACGGCCUUCGGGUUGUAAACCGCUGUCGCCUGUGACGAAGCGUGAGUGACGGUAAUGGGUAAAGAAGCACCGGCUAACUACGUG